Molecule: ribosomal RNA, 253 nt
Filed under: uncultured bacterium
Lineage: Bacteria
Description: partial 16S ribosomal RNA
Rfam family: Bacterial small subunit ribosomal RNA
Source: RNAcentral
UACGUAGGUGGCGAGCGUUGUCCGGAUUUACUGGGCGUAAAGAGCGCGCAGGCGGUCGUUCAAGUCGCGUGUGAAAGCCCCCGGCUCAACUGGGGAGGGUCACGCGAUACUGAUCGACUCGAAGGCAGGAGAGGGUAGUGGAAUUCCCGGUGUAGUGGUGAAAUGCGUAGAGAUCCGGAGGAACACCAGUGGCGAAGGCGACACGCUGGGCCGUACCUGACGUUAAAGCGCGACAGCAUGGGGAGCAAACGGG